Molecule: ribosomal RNA, 301 nt
Filed under: uncultured bacterium
Lineage: Bacteria
Description: partial 16S ribosomal RNA
Rfam family: Bacterial small subunit ribosomal RNA
Source: RNAcentral
CAGUCGCCGCGGUAAUACGUAGGCAGCGAGCGUUGUUCGGAAUUACUGGGCGUAAAGAGUGUGUAGGCGGUGCUCUAAGUUCGGUGUGAAAUCUCCCGGCUUAACUGGGAGGGUGCGCCGGAAACUGGAAUGCUCGAACGUGGGAGAGGAAAGCGGAAUUCCUGGUGUAGCGGUGAAAUGCGUAGAUAUCAGGAGGAACACCUGCGGUGUAGACGGCUUUCUGGACCAUUGUUGACGCUGAGACACGAAAGCGUGGGUAGCAAACAGGAUUAGAUACCCCGGUAGUCCCUGUCUCUUAUAC